AUUCUCCUUUGCUUUUAAACUAUUUGAACGUAAGUUUUUUUGAGCAAAUACUAUGAGGUCGUGGAAUCACCUCUUAUAUACUCCUGUCUCCUUGUGUUUGUAAAGCACUUUAUAUUUUACAGAGCACUUUGAUUCAUUUCUUUAUUUGUUCAUUCAUCCCAAUUCACUUAAAUAUUUAUUGAGCACCUACUGGAACCAAGUUCCUGUGCUCAAUCUUGUGAAAUACAGACAGUGAGAGAUGAGGCAUGUCUGCUGAUCAUUGUAAUAUGGUGAAAUCCUCAAACACAGCUUUGCAAAUUGUUGGGAUCGAUAUGACUCCAUCCAGUUUCCACUUCCAGUUUCUAUUCUACUUAGAUAGAGAACUAUCAAGUAUUUGCCUGAAGGAUGUUUCUGAAAUAUGAUACAUCAUUGCACAUCUCUGCUGCUUGCUCUGUUUCAAAUGAGCUGUUAAUUUCAUUUAUGAGAAGCAAAAUUACUCAUCCAAAGUUGUCCCAGACCCAAGAAGACUCUCUGGGUCACUUGAGUUCUUCCUGGCCAGAUGUAAUAGUUCACCAUCUCCUACUAUUUCUGUUGUGGCUUUAGGAAUUAUCAACAUCAUUAUCUCAAGGUCUUCCGGAAGCACCAGUGGAUCAAAGAAGCAUUUGCACUUUACAUGUGUAUAGCUGUUUGUCAUUUAUGAGCCUCGGCACUGUUGACACUUGGGCUCCAUAAUUCUCAGCUGGGGAUGGGCUGCUGGGAGUGGCCCCUUGCAUUAUAGGGCGUUGGGCUGCUUCCAGGGCUUCCAUUGACUACGUGACAGUAGCUCACAUACACGCACCCCAGCUGUGACAACUGAAGAUGUCUCCAGACAUUCCCAAAUGUCCCCUGGGGUGAAACUGGGGAAAAUACUGAAUUAUUUAGUGGAAAAAAAAUAUAUCAGGAGAAAAAAAGAAACGUUUCUCUUAUCACUUCAUCUUUAUCAUAGGCCUUUUUAUUUAUAGUAAGACUUGACAUCAUAAACUCUUUGAAUUAGAAGAGAUUUUAAAAAUCACGAGUUCAGCCACAAUCCAACAUUAUCCUCAUUUAUUUCUCCACUUCUCAGUCUUACAAAUGUAUUGAGAGAAGGUCAGAAGACUAGUUGUCUCUGGAACUGAGACCUGACCUUCCCCUGGCGAGAGGUAAGGCUGUUUGGUGUUUACCUUUCGCCCCUGAAGUAGCUGCUGCAGUGAUUUUUGCUUCGGUGGGGAACAUCUCAGAGAUCUUGAGGAGUUUUGAUUAUUUCACAAGUCUACAAAUCUUGCUCCACCAUCUUUGCUUUCAAAAUGUGCAUGGAAGUUGAAGUUUGAUACAUCUAGUUUUAAGGAUAUCUGGAUGAGCUUUCUAUUUCCUUUUUUUUUUUUUUUUUUUUUUUUAGCUUUCUAUUUCUGAUACUGAUUUUUUUUUUUUUAAUUGUCCCUCUUUGGGAAAAAAAAAGAAAUUUAACUGUGCCAAGUAGUUGAAAGUUGGAAAUGUCUGAGUUGAAAUAUCUAAAACUGCCAAGCCAAAGUUUCUGCUGAUUUGAUGUGCCUUAUGUUGGUUUUCCUGUAGGGUCAGUGAUUCCCUAUAAAUAACCCUAUGUUUUGUACUUGUGUCUAUUCUGCACCAAUUGGAAAAGUUGGAGAAGUUAUAAAAGACAAUCUGUUAUGAAUACGCCUAGAAAUAACAACAAACCCCAACUAGAAUAUCAGGUCUCCCUCCAUGCCUUUGCUGAAAGACCAACGCAGACUUUGGAAACAUUCUUAAUUAUUUAAUACAAGUUGCUAAUAUGGACACACAAUUGAAAGCUUUGAUUACAAAGUCUAAGGCGAUAGAAUAUAUUGACAAGCAUAUCCAGAGUGGCCUCUCUAAGGACUAUCUUGGAAAUCAGAAAACUCCAACCCAGGAGGUCCCUUAGUGUGUGUAUAUAUAUAUUCCUUCUCUACUACUGUCAUAGACAAUAUAGUGAUAUGAAAGGUUUUUAUUAGGUUGAUCUUCUAAUUUCAACUUAAAUUGCAACACAUCUGCCUAAUUAUUGCCCGGCAUACCUUUUAAAAGUGCCCACUGCUCUCACAACAGUUAUCGCAGAGGAGCAAGAUGAUAAUUGUUCAAGUAAAAUCGUCAACUUUCCUGAAUCAGUUCUCCAAACAAAUUUAUGGAAGAGAGCAUCACUGGCUUUUCAAUGUAACUUCUUGUUAAUUUCCAGAUCACUGUCCAUACUGAAAGAAUCACAGUUACUUUAAAUCCAGAAUAAAACGCUGGAAAAAAAUUUAUGCAAAUCAUAUGCUGGUGCUCAUCUUUUUCUAAUUUCUAUAGGAUUUAUUAUCAUUUGAGAAUUACUAAGAAAAAAAUGUGUCUCUUAAUAAAGUAAAAAAAAUUUGACUUGGCAGAUGGUGAUAUAUUCAUUUUGAUUCCAGUUGAAAAACCUCAGUGAUUUCUCUCAUUACCACUGGAGUGUUGAUUUAAAAAAAAAAAAAAAAAAAACAGGUUCUCUCUUCCCUAGCAUUGCAGAAAUAUGUGUUUUCAUGACCAAUAUAUCACUUGUUAAUCACGCAGCUAUAAACCUUUUGUGCCUAUCAACGAGAUUCAUAGCAUGAAACUAAUUUUAGACCAUUUGCUAUGUGGGAAGAAGUAUAGGGAUGGGUGGGUGAGGAUGAUUCAUGGGAAAAAAUAAAGAUCAAAAUAUGCCAUCAAGCAGGAUUUUCAGCUUCUUCAGAGCACUGUGCAAAUAAAUAUUCAAUGAAGAUCAGCUCAAAUUUAAGUCAUCCAGACUUGGAGACACUGGGGCACAGAUCCUGCCAGUUAUGCUAAGAAGCAUAUGACAUACAGGCAGUGAAGGAUGUUCCCAUUUAAUCUAAAACCCAGCCAUCUCCCCCCUGAACCUCUUCUAGGGCACCAAUCCUGAACUCAUUAAGGCUUUUGCUGCAGGGAAUUGGGCUACUUCUGGGCACGUAAGGACCAAAGAGAGACUUUUCAUUUAUCACCCUCUGACCUGCAAAGCAUGACUGUGUUCUUUGGUUCCCUUAUGCCAGAGACCAUGAGACAGCCCCACACAGGCAAUAAAGUACAAUAAAAAUAAAAAUCAUUUUCCUGAGGAAAGGCUAAGAGAAAGUACUUUCAUCUGCUCACCCUGAGCUGGCUCUCUGUGAAGUUUGACCACCUUGGGACCUAGACUCCAUAUUAUUGUCUAGACAUCGUGGUCCUGUCUGAGCAAACAUUUUAAAAAGUAAUCGAACAAAAAUAUAUUCCGAGGGUCAUAUUUUUAGUAGGGAAAUAAAACCUCAAAUUAGGUGUCUUCCACUAGGCUACUCUGAAAAUACCAUCAGGCAAAGUCAGCCACCAAAAACUGUUAAAAUCAUUUUAGGGAAACGAAUUAAGUUUCUCUAGACAUACAUAUUUUGUGUUUAUUACAACAAAAUCUCAGGUCCCUAGCUGAGAAGGGGAAAGUCCUUUCAUUGGUUGGUCAAAACAAAUCUCUCAUUUGCCUCAUUUGAGGCAUUUGGACGGUGGCUGGGAAGUACAUUAUUUUCCGGGGGGGAAAAAAGAGACAGCCUUUUUCUGCAUGCCAGCUGGGAUCAUGGGAACUUCCAGUGCCAGGAAUGUACUACUGUUUCUGGUAAUUCUGCUCAUAGUCAUUUGAAACGCUGAAGGGUGAAAGGAGGAGAAGCCGGGCACCCAGGGGCUGUCUGUGUGUUAUGCCAGUUGCACCAGUGCACAGAAUAUUUGUCAAUGAAUUUCCAAGUGGGUAUAACUGCACCCUUUGUCAGCAUCACAAAGCUCACUGUGGAGCUGCUGAAAGAGGACACCGGGGGCGGGGGGGAAUCUGACCCUCUAAACCCGGUCAGCAACCAACCAAAGGAAAGACUGGGUGAGCCCGGCCCGCUGCCAGUUCGCUUCUGUUUUCCACAGCCUUGGACUUCACAUCGAGGACGUGUCUGUCAGGUGAAAGUUAAUUUGGCGGAGGUUUUCCAAAACUUGGUUUAAUACCUGGAAAACUGCGCACGUUGAAUUGACCCCAGUCCUCCGGUCUCAUUUCUAUUUCCUUGGUCAUGUCCAUGAAACACUGGAGACCGCAUUUAUUUUAUUUUUUUCACGGUAAGAUAAUGUCCACCUACUUCCUGAUGACCUCAUGCUUGACAUACCUGAACCUGCAAAUGUAAAAAUGAUUGUAUCUGACUUUGCACUAAUGGUGUCUGAUAGCAAAGUCCUUUAUGGGACGCCUCUGUUUAAAUUCAGUCAUGCAGAUGCUGCAUGACUUCCACAGGCUUCUCUUUGAUUUUCACUGUAAGAUUAAUUACCUAAGUUUGAAUGUAUUUCCUUAUAGUCCAUCAAUUUGCCAUCUAUCGUUUACCUGGGGAACCUUAGGAUUGCAAUAAUUCAUUAGAGAUGUCCUCACACAGCUUCUUCAACCAAGUUUUUCUGCAUUUCUUCGGGUUCUGCUUAGAGUAUGUGGGAAAGCGUGUGUUCUGCUUUUUGUUUUUUUCCUAGUGAUGAUUUUGUAAGAAAGCCAGUGUAUCGACUGCCACAGUGACACGAUUCAUCUUUUAGGGUCUGGAAGCUGGUGGUGACCAAAUGCUAUGUGUGUUCUCUCUGUCAAUUGCUAUUUUCAGAAUUAAAUCAUGUUUUUCUCACUUUCGAUUGGAGUCAACACAUUUGGGAUUUCUCGAAGGGGGCGAAGGGAGCAAUUUGUGUAACACUGCUGUCAUAUUUGACUACAUAUUAAAAACAAUAAAUGAUCCUUUUGUUUUAAUUU
RNAcentral lists this long non-coding RNA (4747 nucleotides) under Sus scrofa (pig). Its description in RNAcentral is "lncRNA (ENSSSCG00000057673.1)". Lineage: Eukaryota; Metazoa; Chordata; Mammalia; Artiodactyla; Suidae. The record is from RNAcentral.